Molecule: long non-coding RNA, 939 nt
Organism: Populus nigra (black poplar)
Lineage: Eukaryota; Viridiplantae; Streptophyta; Magnoliopsida; Malpighiales; Salicaceae
Exons: 2
Source: RefSeq, a predicted model, not a curated record
AGGAGAUGUGGCUCGAUAAGAAUACUGAUGAGUUUUUUUUUUCGAUUUCUUCAAAGGGGUUAGCUAUUACUGGGACUGAUUACAGAAGAUAUUGGAACCACAUUUCAACUGAGGAGUCAAGAUUCCACACAGUUUUGCAUAUCUUCAAGAUAUUUGGUGGUUUGUAGUAGAUGGGGAGUUUGAGUUCGAAUUUCCGAAAGGGACGUAUAGCCUAUUCUUCAGACUCCAGCUUGGCAGGUCCUCGAAGAGAAUGGGCCGUAGAGUUGGUAAUUCGUUACACAUCCAUGGCUGGGAUAUAAAACCUGUACGAUUCUAGCUAACAACUUCUGAUGGUCAACGAGCAGAACCCAAAGCUUUCUGGAAAAUCCUGUCAAUUAAACGUGAUUUUUUGUUCAACAUCGAUCAAAAUUCUUUCUGAACAAUCCUGGGAACUGGGUUUACGAGGAUUUUAUUGUCAAGGUAACGAAUUAAUGAAGAAAUUUUCAAUGACUCAGAUUGAGCUCACGCACACCAAAGGAGAUCUCCGCGUUGAUGCGGCCUUUGUAUUCCCCAGUACUCCAGUAGCAUAGGCAGGGAGAUCUGUACAGUGAACUAGCAUGCUGGUCAGCAUUGAAGAAGAAAGUUGAGGCUGGUUUGUUGGGGUUUACAGAGUUUUCACUCAUUCAUUGUACAUGCUUGGUUCUUCUAAUUCUGCAGGUCUUCAAUGGUCUAGUUUUGUAGCACUUGUUCGUUAUGGUCCCGCUAGUUUGCUGUAUUGCCUGCCCAGAGCCUACUUACCCUUUGGUCAAUUUUUUGAAACAGAAACAGAAUCGCCUUCAUUUGUUUCUUUUCUUUUGAUAAAGGAAUUCUCGUCCUGGGAACGGCAUCCUGUUUUUUGUACAAAAAUUUGCAUCUGACUUGAGAUUUUUAUAUUUUAUGUGUGUUGUAGUUCUGUUGCCA